UUCCUGUAUGAAUUUAAGUUUAGACUAAUCGCUUCUCUCUGUGUUUUCAACAUCUAAGGACCAUGAACAUUGUCGAGGUGUCUCUAAAGAUGGACUCUUCUCAGGGCCUCCUGGCUGUGAUGCUCCUCAUCCUCACAAGGGCCCAUGGAGACUCAGUAACUCAGACGCAAGGUCAAGUCGUCCUCUCAGAAAAGGACAUUCUUACUAUACACUGCAACUAUUCAGCCGCAGGGGACCCGGCUCUGUUCUGGUAUGUGCAGUAUCCCGGAGAAGGUCUACAGCUCCUCUUUAGAGUCUUAAGGGCCAACGAGAAGGGAAGCAACAGAGGUUUCGAAGCUACGUAUGAUAAAGAAACCACGUCCUUCCACUUGCAGAAAGCCUCAGUGCAAGCGUCGGACUCGGCCGUGUACUACUGUGCUCUGAAUGACACAGUGGCAGAAACCACAGAGGGAGCUGAGCACAAACUCUGAGAAGCAGAGGCCUAACCGCUGAGCCUCUGGGAUUGAUCUGGUUCCUCUUUGUGCUGUGUGCCUCUCGGUUUCUCUGGUUGGCACAAAAAUUACACGAAUCGCCUCAAGAGAAAGAACAAGAAGUAGACACUUUCACCCUGGUCUUGACUGGGACUAAACCAAAAUCCGAUGCAAAAAUACCUCGUGCAGAGGGAAAGGAGCCUCACAGUAAAGCUCUGUGAAUAAGGAA
Rattus norvegicus (Norway rat) is the source of this 699-nucleotide non-coding RNA. The record is from the annotation of a RefSeq genome assembly. Lineage: Eukaryota; Metazoa; Chordata; Mammalia; Rodentia; Muridae.